UUGAACGCUGGCGGCCUGCUUUACACCUGCAAGUCGCACGGCAGCGCGGGCUUCGGCCUGGCGGCGAGUGGCGAACGGGUGAGUAAUGCAUUGGAACGUGCCCAGUAGUGGGGGAUAGCCCGGCGAAAGCCGGAUUAAUACCGCAUACGACCUGAGGGUGAAAGCGGGGGACCGAAAGGCCUCGCGCUAUUGGAGCGGCCGAUGUCGGAUUAGCUAGUUGGUGGGGUAAAGGCUUACCAAGGCGACGAUCCGUAGCUGGUCUGAGAGGACGACCAGCCACACUGGGACUGAGACACGGCCCAGACUCCUACGGGAGGCAGCAGUGGGGAAUUUUGGACAAUGGGGGCAACCCUGAUCCAGCCAUGCCGCGUGCGGGAAGAAGGCCUUCGGGUUGUAAACCGCUUUUGUUCGGGAAGAAAUCCUCUGGGCUAAUACCCCGGGGGGAUGACGGUACCGGAAGAAUAAGCACCGGCUAACUACGUG
Molecule: ribosomal RNA, 483 nt
Filed under: uncultured bacterium
Lineage: Bacteria
Description: partial 16S ribosomal RNA
Rfam family: Bacterial small subunit ribosomal RNA
Source: RNAcentral